Molecule: vault RNA, 101 nt
Filed under: Sander lucioperca (pikeperch)
Lineage: Eukaryota; Metazoa; Chordata; Actinopteri; Perciformes; Percidae
Description: Vault RNA (ENSSLUG00000012099.1)
Rfam family: Vault RNA
About the family: This family of RNAs are found as part of the enigmatic vault ribonucleoprotein complex. The complex consists of a major vault protein (MVP), two minor vault proteins (VPARP and TEP1), and several small untranslated RNA molecules.
Source: RNAcentral
GCAACGGUUUAGCUCAGUGGUUACUUCUUCUCAAAUGUUGACUUCUAACUCCACGACCUCCGGGUCAGGUGUUCGAACCACGGGCGCUGUCCGCUGCUCUC